This 253-nucleotide ribosomal RNA is filed under the name uncultured bacterium. RNAcentral describes it as "partial 16S ribosomal RNA". It matches the Rfam family "Bacterial small subunit ribosomal RNA", at positions 524 to 776 of the family's 1533-position model. The record is from RNAcentral.
UACGGGGGGGGCAAGCGUUGUUCGGAAUUACUGGGCGUAAAGGGCUCGUAGGCGGCCAACUAAGUCCGACGUGAAAUUCCCGGGCUCAACCUGGGGGCUGCGCUUGAUACUGAUUGGCUUGAAUGCGGGAGAGGAUAGUGGAAUUCCCAGUGUAGAGGUGAAAUUCGUAGAUAUCUGGAGGAACACCGGUGGCGAAGGCGACAUCCUGGACCGGUAUUGACGCUGAGGCGCGAAAGCCAGGGGAGCAAACGGG